This 253-nucleotide ribosomal RNA is filed under the name uncultured bacterium. Its description in RNAcentral is "partial 16S ribosomal RNA". It matches the Rfam family "Bacterial small subunit ribosomal RNA", at positions 524 to 776 of the family's 1533-position model. The record is from RNAcentral.
UACGUAGGGUGCGAGCGUUGUCCGGAAUUAUUGGGCGUAAAGGGCUCGUAGGCGGUCUGUCGCGUCGAAAGUGAAAACUCAGGGCUUAACCCUGAGCCUGCUUCCGAUACGGGCAGACUAGAGGUAUGCAGGGGAGAACGGAAUUCCUGGUGUAGCGGUGGAAUGCGCAGAUAUCAGGAGGAACACCGGUGGCGAAGGCGGUUCUCUGGGCAUUACCUGACGCUGAGGAGCGAAAGUGUGGGGAGCGAACCGG